AGAUUGAACGCUGGCGGCAGGCCUAACACAUGCAAGUCGAGCGGCAGCACGGGUACUUGUACCUGGUGGCGAGCGGCGGACGGGUGAGUAAUGCCUAGGAAUCUGCCUGAUAGUGGGGGAUAACGUUCGGAAACGGACGCUAAUACCGCAUACGUCCUACGGGAGAAAGUGGGGGAUCUUCGGACCUCACGCUAUCAGAUGAGCCUAGGUCGGAUUAGCUAGUUGGUAGGGUAAAGGCCUACCAAGGCUACGAUCCGUAAC
Molecule: ribosomal RNA, 261 nt
Filed under: uncultured soil bacterium
Lineage: Bacteria
Description: partial 16S ribosomal RNA
Rfam family: Bacterial small subunit ribosomal RNA
Source: RNAcentral